RNAcentral lists this ribosomal RNA (253 nucleotides) under uncultured bacterium. RNAcentral describes it as "partial 16S ribosomal RNA". It matches the Rfam family "Bacterial small subunit ribosomal RNA", at positions 524 to 776 of the family's 1533-position model. The record is from RNAcentral.
UACGGGGGAGGCAAGCGUUGUUCGGAAUUACUGGGCGUAAAGGGCUCGUAGGCGGCCAACUAAGUCGGAUGUGAAAUCCCCAAGCUUAACUUGGGAACUGCAUCCGAUACUGGAUGGCUUGAAUCCGGGAGAGGGAUGCAGAAUUCCAGGUGUAGCGGUGAAAUGCGUAGAUAUCUGGAGGAAUACCGGUGGCGAAGGCGGCAUCCUGGACCGGCAUUGACGCUGAGGAGCGAAAGCUAGGGGAGCAAACGGG